CCGAUUUUUUCAAAUGUGAAUUGAGUUAUCAGCUUGCUGUUUAGAAGAGGUGGUGGGAUUUGCUCAUGAGAGGGGAACCUUGUUGCCUCACUGUGAAACAAUAUCUGUAUUAUUUUCCACAGAGAAGGGUACUAGCUUUUAUGGGGUGGAGUGAAAGUUCAUGAAACCAAAAUCUUUGGGUUCAUUCAGAAAGUAAUUCCUAUUCAAGGAGCUCAGGUUUUCCAAGUUAGAGACCUGACCUUGGCAUAAGAGUUGCUUAGGUUCACCAUUUAAUCAUCUUCUAAGUUCAGCACUCUAAAUAUUAAAUCCUGGAGUUGAUGUUAAAUAUUUUCUUCUGAUCUACUGCAUGAAAUGUGGGUUUCUCUG
This 366-nucleotide long non-coding RNA is filed under the name Homo sapiens (human). RNAcentral describes it as "HSALNT0073092". The record is from RNAcentral. Lineage: Eukaryota; Metazoa; Chordata; Mammalia; Primates; Hominidae.